ACAGCGUAACAGAAACAGCUGCUGCUACUACGUCUGCAUAUUCCGUUCUAUCGACCAGUAACAAAGUCAGUCCGAGGCCGUUUAAUCCCUCGUGCUUUCAGUAUUUUGCCACUGUUCUGGAUCCCACCGAUCAUUAAGGAAAAGGAGAAAACCAAACAAACAAAGAAACUUCAUUCUGUGCUCCUGCCGUGCUGACGUGUCAUCACAAUUACCCGGAAGCCGGUGACAUCACAGUUAAAGGUCCUCCUGAAACCAACAACAGAAAACCUGUUCCAGCGCCUGCCUCUGAGCAAGAUUAUUUUCUCAUCAGACCUCUCUUGCUGUGGGGCAAUCUAUAUUGGAGCCCUAAUCCGUUGGAUUAUAAUGGACAUUUAUUUUUGGAGAAGAAUUUUGUGAUUAUUUUUUGAUGGCUAUAUAUUUAUUUUUCUUUUUGAAAUACAAGGACUGUUAAGCCUAAUUUUUUGUUGU
Cyprinodon tularosa is the source of this 468-nucleotide long non-coding RNA. RefSeq lists it as uncharacterized. The record is from RefSeq and is a predicted model, not a curated record. Lineage: Eukaryota; Metazoa; Chordata; Actinopteri; Cyprinodontiformes; Cyprinodontidae. The transcript has 3 exons.